Molecule: long non-coding RNA, 248 nt
Filed under: Elaeis guineensis (African oil palm)
Lineage: Eukaryota; Viridiplantae; Streptophyta; Magnoliopsida; Arecales; Arecaceae
Description: long non-coding RNA (EGUI_LNC043161)
Source: RNAcentral
CGUCAUGUUGAUUUACCCCUUUUUGUUCAUGACCGUAGGCCAUUUGAGUUUGACGCUUCCUCCCGGUGCUCGAGCUUGGGGACCCGAACUUCUCAUUACUUUGAGGAAGUCGAUUUCUCCUCGGCCUGUGUUGAGUUCCCUCUUAGCGACUGAGGGUUUUUGAUAGGAGUAUCCUUUCCUGUUGAGACAAGGUUCCUUGUGUCUUUGGUGUAGUUUGUUUUCACUUAUCGCUGGUGUAGUUCGUUGCC